CAGAGCCAGUAGGUGGGGAAUAGAGCAGCCAUUCCUGCAACAUAUACUCACCAUUUAGGAGCCUUCGCUGAAAGCAGAUGGUGGUUUAGGCAUGGCUGAAGCAGCUGCUGCUUAUCAGCUCAUUUACCAGCUCCUACAUAACCAGCCAGCAGAGUUUCCUCGUUUCCAGUCUGUUGAGAUUUGUUCUGAAAAACCUCCUGUCUCCUUCACCUUACCUGUGAGUUCCUGAGCCACCAGCUACACUGGCCAUGUCUCCUGUCACAGCCUAGACUGCUGUGUGUUACUGUUCGACCGGUGACACUGUCAGCUCAUCUCUCCUCCUGGAACCUUUAACUUACCUAGUCUCCAGCUGCGACAACUCCUCUCCACCAGCACUACUCACCUGUGCAUCUCCUCACCACUGCCUGGCUCCUGUCCUGCCUCAUCUUCCCGGUGUCACCUCAGCUCCUCUCUGCCUGCCACCUUCAGGGAGCCCUGUUUACCUCAGCCUUCCCCUUAGGGGCUCCUGCCAUUCACAAUUUCUUACCAGUCAACCGGUGUUAAGACUUUUUAUUUAGCCUAAUAAAGCCUCCUGAGACCUGC
Molecule: long non-coding RNA, 582 nt
Organism: Monopterus albus (swamp eel)
Lineage: Eukaryota; Metazoa; Chordata; Actinopteri; Synbranchiformes; Synbranchidae
Exons: 2
Source: RefSeq, a predicted model, not a curated record